This 168-nucleotide ribosomal RNA is filed under the name uncultured bacterium. Its description in RNAcentral is "partial 16S ribosomal RNA". It matches the Rfam family "Bacterial small subunit ribosomal RNA", at positions 338 to 498 of the family's 1533-position model. The record is from RNAcentral.
CCUACGGGAGGCAGCAGUGGGGAAUUUUGGACAAUGGGCGCAAGCCUGAUCCAGCCAUGCCGCGUGAGUGAAGAAGGCCUUCGGGUUGUAAAGCUCUUUCGGCCGGGAAGAAAUCGCACAGGUUAAUACCCUGUGUGGAUGACGGUACCGGAAUAAGAAGCACCGGCU